AGUGCUUCUCUAGAGUUCUUCUAGUUUAACCUGAGGGGUCAGGUUAACUGACUGAGGGGCCAGGGUCAGAGAAAAGGGUAUCUUUUCUCCCUGGUCACAAGGCUGUAAGUAUGGAAGCCCAGCAUCAAAGAGCCAUGCCCCCACCUAAGAAAGAAGUUGUUCUAAGGAAAAUGAAACCAGUAUACAGACAGCAGGAUGGAACAAUAGUCAAAUGCUUUCGAUGUGCUCAACACAAUGCUAGGCACAGAUGAAUAAGGGUCUGUUCCAAGAAGACACAGAAUGGGAGAAAUGGUCAAAAAUAAAGAUGCAUCCUUUCUGUCUUCUCUGCUAAACAGUGAGCUCCAGGAAGAAAAGGAUCAUCAU
RNAcentral lists this long non-coding RNA (363 nucleotides) under Homo sapiens (human). RNAcentral describes it as "HSALNT0370919". The record is from RNAcentral. Lineage: Eukaryota; Metazoa; Chordata; Mammalia; Primates; Hominidae.